Molecule: long non-coding RNA, 884 nt
Filed under: Triticum aestivum (bread wheat)
Lineage: Eukaryota; Viridiplantae; Streptophyta; Magnoliopsida; Poales; Poaceae
Description: long non-coding RNA (TAES_LNC017587)
Source: RNAcentral
ACUGCCUCGGCAGUUCUUUGACCCGGUGAUUCUCAAAAAAAACACUAAGGAAAGGGGAAGGAACUAACGUUGAUGCAUGAGUGCUUACCUCCGGUUGGUAGAUGAAGUAAAAAUUGCCGAAUUGCUGGUGGCGUGCGGCCUGCUGAUAAAUCAAGAGAUGCAGGUGCAUCGGGUUAUCCAAAACAACAACAGUCAAUGAAUUGGAUGGAUCUAGAUGCUGAAUAAAUAGAAUAUAAGAAUGUUAGAGAAACUGGAAUAUAUAAAAGAGGCAUUACUGAUACAUAUAUAACACAACCUGCUUGCAAUUUUGCCAACCCCUUGGUAGGAAUGAUGCCAUUGCACAUCAAUAAUAUUGCUGAAAAGGUGUGAGAAAUUCAGAGACAUAUAUUAGCAAUCAAACACUUGUGCAAGACAAAUGAAAAAGUGAAUCAAAAUCACACUGCAUAAUCUAAAAUGAUAUAUGUUGCCUUAUGUCCAAGUGAAAGAGCAUCUUCAUUGUUGAAAAGGCAUGAGAAAUUGAGAGACAUAUAUUAGCAAUCAAACACUUGUGUGAGAGAAAUGGGAAAAUUAAAUCAAAAUCUCAUGUAUUGUCUAAAAUGAUAUAUGCUACCUUAUGUCCAAGUGAAACAGAAUCUCCAUGAAGUCCAUGUGGAAGCACAUCGAGCUGAUAGCCUAGCCUUGGGAGUGUCAAACGCGUGUGGAGCGGAUGAACAGAUGUUGGACUGCAGAGUAUGGAUUGGGAAGCGAUUGGAAAGGCAGAACCGGAAUGACCAAUCACAUAGAAGCAUGUCAAGGAUGUUAUUCAAAUGUAAGCGUGGAGAUGCUCACCUGAUAAGCUGAUGUGUUAGCCCCAAAGGUGGAGUCCCUUUGGAAGUCCUGUUCAG